CGGCCUAUUCCCUUAAAUAUUCAAAAUUUAAAAUCUUGCAGCAGGAAUAGACUGCGGUUCCACUUAAAACCGCAGUUUAUUCCCCCUGCAAAAUUCUGACAUUCCGCAAAAGCAGUGUUGAAAAAAAAUUUCAUGGGAAUAUAUCGCGGUUGUGAGGAGAACCGCGGUAUAUCCCCCUGCAAUUUUUUUUCUGCAAAAUUCUGACUUCCCGC
Molecule: long non-coding RNA, 212 nt
Filed under: Vigna radiata
Lineage: Eukaryota; Viridiplantae; Streptophyta; Magnoliopsida; Fabales; Fabaceae
Description: long non-coding RNA (VRAD_LNC008117)
Source: RNAcentral